AGGUCGACGGCCAGCAUUCUUGUAGCCAUAGUAGAGAUGGCGACCGGCGCACGGGUGAGUAACACGUAUCCAACCUACCGAUAACUCUGGAAUAGCCUUUCGAAAGAAAGAUUAAUACCGGAUAGUAUACGAAUAUCGCAUGAUAUUUUUAUUAAAGAAUUUCGGUUAUCGAUGGGGAUGCGUUCCAUUAGUUUGUUGGCGGGGUAACGGCCCACCAAGACUACGAUGGAUAGGGGUUCUGAGAGGAAGGUCCCCCACAUUGGAACUGAGACACGGUCCAAACUCCUACGGGAGGCAGCAGUGAGGAAUAUUGGUCAAUGGACGAGAGUCUGAACCAGCCAAGUAGCGUGAAGGAUGACUGCCCUAUGGGUUGUAAACUUCUUUUAUAUGGGAAUAAAGUUUUCCACGUGUGGAAUUUUGUAUGUACCAUAUGAAUAAGGAUCGGCUAACUCCGUGCCAGCAGCCGCGGUAAUACGGAGGAUCCGAGCGUUAUCCGGAUUUAUUGGGUUUAAAGGGAGCGUAGGUGGAUUGUUAAGUCAGUUGUGAAAGUUUGCGGCUCAACCGUAAAAUUGCAGUUGAAACUGGGAGUCUUGAGUACAGUAGAGGUGGGCGGAAAUUCGUGGU
This 624-nucleotide ribosomal RNA is filed under the name Bacteroides sp. RNAcentral's name for it is "bacterial SSU rRNA". It matches the Rfam family "Bacterial small subunit ribosomal RNA", at positions 59 to 675 of the family's 1533-position model. The record is from RNAcentral. Lineage: Bacteria; Pseudomonadati; Bacteroidota; Bacteroidia; Bacteroidales; Bacteroidaceae.